This 996-nucleotide long non-coding RNA is filed under the name Marmota monax (woodchuck). The record is from RNAcentral. Lineage: Eukaryota; Metazoa; Chordata; Mammalia; Rodentia; Sciuridae.
UCUCACUAGAGCAAAGCAGAGGCUUUUCUAGGUUCAACCAGGAGUCAUGGGCAAGGCCACGCAGAGGAGCAAGGCAGCUGUCAGGAGAAUUCAGGCUGCAGUGGCUCAGUGCCCAGGCCACGCAGCCUGAGAUGGGGAGGAACACUGGGAAAUGUGACAUCUGCUGCCCCAGCACCUCCCUGCACGCUCCCUCCCUUGUCCAGCUGCUCAGGAGGAGGGCGGAAGCCAGCAUUUUCCCACUGCCAUUGUCUACCUGACAGGUUCAUCAAUCUUAGCUUAUCUCAUCCUCAUAACUUCUCAAGCUGGUUAUCAUUCCUCUUUUAUGGAAGAGGAAGAGGAAGAGCAGAUUCAGAGGUGUCCAAGGGCACACAUGGAAGCUAAGCCUGUAUUCAAGCCCAGGGGCUGGAACUCCAAAGCCUCUGUCCCUUUCAUGGCAUUGGAAAAUUCUUGCUGACCCAGACGGGAUCUCCUCAGCGGCAUCUGAGUUACCAUCCAUCAGGGCGAUGCGCGGCCUGAGGAGACAGAGAUAAACCCAGAGGCAGGCAGCUCCUGGCAAUAACGGCUGAAGAAAAGAGAAAACGGAACUCAAGACUCCUUCCUGGUUCACAUCCCCCUUGCCACCCCUCACCCCCACCUGGCCCCUUCACCUUCCUGCCCUCAGUGCCCUGGACAGACCCUUGGCCUGGGGAGGGCAGCCUGUCCUGACCAGUGCCAGCCCAGCAUGCUUGGCCCUGGCAACAAUAGCUGGAAGGGCCUCUUGGAGCAAGUACUUCCUGAAGUGCCCAGAGCAGCCACUGUCCCCGCGGCUCAGGAACAAUCACAGCUCACACCAGCUUCCGCGCUGUGCUCCGUUUCAGGGCUUCCUGCACUCUCAGCAGAGCCCCCGGGUGGAUCUGCUGCUGUAGGUUCCCAGCUUAGGAGGGACAGGCAGAUGACACGUGCAGGAGGCCAUGACUCAGACCACUCAGAGAUCUGAAGUUCCAAGCAGGUUAUUCU